GGAUGGCUUUGGUGUAACAUAAAUAAGGUUGUAUACUGAGAGCACAUAUGCUGGCUUAAUGCUAAUUUGUUGCUUUAUUUGGAAGUGGGUAUAUGUUGUCCGGGUACCAAUAAAGGAAUUGGUAUAUGUUAUGGACAAUCCUGUCGGUGUGUUCUCUAUUGGCUUCAACAAUUUUAACGGCGGGUUCGGUUUUGGUCAUAGUGGCAUGCCAAGGGAAGCAGGGACGCAACAAAGGAUCGGAAGAUGCAGUACAACGGCCGAUACUGGAUCUCCCGUCCCCACCAAAGGCCUCAGGCACCCAAUGGCAGUGGCGCCUUGGCUCUUAUCGGUGACUCCAGCAGCAGCGCCUUCGUACCGGAUAUAAGCUCCCUGGACAAGUCUCUCCGGCACUACUUCACUGCAGACUAGCUGGCUAUCACAAUGCGUUGGAGAAAAUUCUAGUGACAGCCAGAAGAUAAGCUACGACAUGAGCUAGCAUGCAAGACAAUGACAUAAUUGUGUUGGUCAGGUGUGAUCUUUCCCAGGGUAGAUAAGUUAUGGGAGUAAUCAGUGCGGGAAGCAAUCUGUAAUUAGUGGCUCUUAAAGCCCUCUUUUCAAAAGCUGGAAUUUCGUGGUACCUGAGUGGAAAUUAUGUUGUUUGGUACGGAAUUCUUAACUUCUAGACAGCCAAUUCAAUUCAGUUAGUACUGAAUCCUUUGGUUAACAGUAGAACAACAUAUGUUUUCCCAAAUUUGAUUA
Molecule: long non-coding RNA, 738 nt
Organism: Lolium rigidum
Lineage: Eukaryota; Viridiplantae; Streptophyta; Magnoliopsida; Poales; Poaceae
Exons: 2
Source: RefSeq, a predicted model, not a curated record